CGUAGGGUGCGAGCGUUAAUCGGAAUUACUGGGCGUAAAGUGUGCGCAGGUGGCCGCGCAAGUCGAGUGUGAAAGCCCCGAGCUUAACUUGGGAAUUGCGCUCGAAACUACGUGGCUAGAGUGUGGCAGAGGAAGGUGGAAUUCCACGUGUAGCGGUGAAAUGCGUAGAGAUGUGGAGGAACACCGAUGGCGAAGGCAGCCUUCUGGGCCAACACUGACGCUCAUGCACGAAAGCGUGGGGAGCAAACAGGAUUAGAUACCCUGGUAGUCCACGCCCUAAACGAUGAUGACUAGUUGUUGGGGGAGUUAAAUCCCUUAGUAACGCAGCUAACGCGUGAAGUCAUCCGCCUGGGGAGUACGGUCGCAAGAUUA
This 372-nucleotide ribosomal RNA is filed under the name uncultured organism. RNAcentral's name for it is "bacterial SSU rRNA". It matches the Rfam family "Bacterial small subunit ribosomal RNA", at positions 526 to 896 of the family's 1533-position model. The record is from RNAcentral.